UACGAAGGUCCCGAGCGUUAUUCGGAAUCACUGGGCGUAAAGGGAGCGUAGGCGGCGUGGAAAGUCAGAUGUGAAAUCCCGGGGCUCAACCCCGGAACUGCAUCCGAUACUACCAUGCUAGAGUAUUGGAGGGGUAACUGGAAUUCUCGGUGUAGCAGUGAAAUGCGUAGAUAUCGAGAGGAACACUCGUGGCGAAAGCGAGUUACUGGACAAUGACUGACGCUGAGGCUCGAAGGCUAGGGGAGCAAAAGGG
This 253-nucleotide ribosomal RNA is filed under the name uncultured bacterium. RNAcentral describes it as "partial 16S ribosomal RNA". It matches the Rfam family "Bacterial small subunit ribosomal RNA", at positions 524 to 776 of the family's 1533-position model. The record is from RNAcentral.